GAUGAACGCUGACAGAAUGCUUAACACAUGCAAGUCCACUUGAAUUUGGGUUUUUUCACUUAGAUUUGGGUGGCGGACGGGUGAGUAACGCGUAAAGAACUUGCCUCACAGCUAGGGACAACAUUUGGAAACGAAUGCUAAUACCUGAUAUUAUGAUUAUAAGGCAUCUUAGAAUUAUGAAAGCUAUAUGCGCUGUGAGAGAGCUUUGCGUCCCAUUAGCUAGUUGGAGAGGUAACGGCUCACCAAGGCGAUGAUGGGUAGCCGGCCUGAGAGGGUGAACGGCCACAAGGGGACUGAGACACGGCCCUUACUCCUACGGGAGGCAGCAGUGGGGAAUAUUGGACAAUGGACCAAGAGUCUGAUCCAGCAAUUCUGUGUGCACGAUGACGUUUUUCGGAAUGUAAAGUGCUUUCAGUUGGGAAGAAAAAAAUGACGGUACCAACAGAAGAAGUGACGGCUAAAUACGUG
This 468-nucleotide ribosomal RNA is filed under the name uncultured bacterium. RNAcentral's name for it is "partial 16S ribosomal RNA". It matches the Rfam family "Bacterial small subunit ribosomal RNA", at positions 28 to 507 of the family's 1533-position model. The record is from RNAcentral.